RNAcentral lists this ribosomal RNA (1158 nucleotides) under Salmonella enterica. Its description in RNAcentral is "partial 23S ribosomal RNA". It matches the Rfam family "Bacterial large subunit ribosomal RNA", at positions 45 to 1242 of the family's 2925-position model. Lineage: Bacteria; Pseudomonadati; Pseudomonadota; Gammaproteobacteria; Enterobacterales; Enterobacteriaceae. The record is from RNAcentral.
GGCGAUGAAGGACGUGCUAAUCUGCGAUAAGCGCCGGUAAGGUGAUAUGAACCGUUAUAACCGGCGAUUUCCGAAUGGGGAAACCCAGUGUGAUUCGUCACACUAUCAUUAACUGAAUCCAUAGGUUAAUGAGGCGAACCGGGGGAACUGAAACAUCUAAGUACCCCGAGGAAAAGAAAUCAACCGAGAUUCCCCCAGUAGCGGCGAGCGAACGGGGAGGAGCCCAGAGCCUGAAUCAGCAUGUGUGUUAGUGGAAGCGUCUGGAAAGGCGCGCGAUACAGGGUGACAGCCCCGUACACAAAAGCGCAUGUGCUGUGAGCUCGAUGAGUAGGGCGGGACACGUGGUAUCCUGUCUGAAUAUGGGGGGACCAUCCUCCAAGGCUAAAUACUCCUGACUGACCGAUAGUGAACCAGUACCGUGAGGGAAAGGCGAAAAGAACCCCGGCGAGGGGAGUGAAAAAGAACCUGAAACCGUGUACGUACAAGCAGUGGGAGCACAGGUUUACCUGUGUGACUGCGUACCUUUUGUAUAAUGGGUCAGCGACUUAUAUUCUGUAGCAAGGUUAACCGAAUAGGGGAGCCGGAGGGAAACCGAGUCUUAAUUGGGCGUUAAGUUGCAGGGUAUAGACCCGAAACCCGGUGAUCUAGCCAUGGGCAGGUUGAAGGUUGGGUAACACUAACUGGAGGACCGAACCGACUAAUGUUGAAAAAUUAGCGGAUGACCUGUGGCUGGGGGUGAAAGGCCAAUCAAACCGGGAGAUAGCUGGUUCUCCCCGAAAGCUAUUUAGGUAGCGCCUCGUGAAUUCAUCUCCGGGGGUAGAGCACUGUUUCGGCUAGGGGGCCAUCCCGGCUUACCAACCCGAUGCAAACUGCGAAUACCGGAGAAUGUUAUCACGGGAGACACACGGCGGGUGCUAACGUCCGUCGUGAAGAGGGAAACAACCCAGACCGCCAGCUAAGGUCCCAAAGUCAUGGUUAAGUGGGAAACGAUGUGGGAAGGCCCAGACAGCCAGGAUGUUGGCUUAGAAGCAGCCAUCAUUUAAAGAAAGCGUAAUAGCUCACUGGUCGAGUCGGCCUGCGCGGAAGAUGUAACGGGGCUAAACCAUGCACCGAAGCUGCGGCAGCGACACUGUGUGUUGUUGGGUAGGGGAGCGUUCU